RNAcentral lists this ribosomal RNA (411 nucleotides) under Triticum aestivum (bread wheat). RNAcentral's name for it is "partial small subunit ribosomal RNA". Lineage: Eukaryota; Viridiplantae; Streptophyta; Magnoliopsida; Poales; Poaceae. The record is from RNAcentral.
AUGGCCGCGAUGGGUGGGCACCAGAGGCUGAAGAUGGAGGAUGCGGCGGAGGACAAGUUCCCGGAGGGGUUGCGUGUGCUCGCGGUGGACGACGACCGCGUCUGCCUCAAGGUACUAGAGGCCCUCUUGCGCCGCUGCAAAUAUAGCCCAACGACGGUGAUGGAUGCCAAGAUGGCGCUGAAGAUGCUCAGAUCGGGGAAAGAGGAGUUCGACCUGGUCAUCACCGAUGUGCGCAUGCCCGACAUGGACGGCUUCAAGCUCCUCGAGCUCAUCGGCCUCGAGAUGGAUCUGCUCGUCAUCAUGCUAUCAGUGGAUUGGGACAAGAAUGUCGUGAUGAAGGGGAUAAACCAUGGGGCGUGUGACUAUUUGAUGAAGCCAGUGCAAACCAACGAGCUCAAAAACAUAUGGUAG